UUCAUUUUCAACAUUGCUUCCUUAAGUCCUUCCGCUCUUUUUCCCGCUAAUUUAUUUAUAAUGAAAACGACCCUUUAAAUGUGAAUUAGAGAUUAAUUCAUUCGAGGAAGUUGCAGCAGGUUUCUCCUUUAAAAUCCUUUUUUAUAGACGUGUACCUCUAAAGAAAAAAAAUCCAUUGAAGGCAAACAUAAAACCAUUUACAACUUAACAAUAUACAAACAGUGAAAGAGUCAAUAUUUAAAUUCCCAAGUUUUGUGGUGCAUAAUUCUCCCUCUAUUCCCGACAAUCCACUAUUUUGUUUAAAACUGUAUGACUGAAAGUAAUUACAUAUAUUUUUUGUAGAUGUCGAUAAUAUUCUUUAAAUUACCAUUUAUGAAGAAAAAUCAAGAGUAGUUGUUAGAUCCGGUUAGUGGCAGGGCCAAUGCUUAAUGGGAAAAAAGACGAUAGUAUGUUCGACCGAUUGUCUCUUUUUGUUCUGUAUGCGGAUCUUCUUUAAAAAGUUUAUAAGUAACUUAAGGCCUUAGUGGUGAAAAUAUCAAGUGGUUUUUGAAGGUUUUAAUGUUGAAGGUGAGCUGAAAAUAUCAGAGAUUUCCAGUCCAAUUUUUUGGACAAAAUGCCUUGUUAAAGAGGCAUAAACCCCAUUUUGAGAAAAACCUCUAGAUACUUUUCCCUAAUUUUCUCUAAAAAACUUUUAGGAAUACGACAAAUAUUCUUUUAGCAUUGGAAUCUUAUUCAAAAAUAGAACCAAUCAUUAAGAAUAAUAUUUAGCUGUAAAUCGAAGGGAUGAAUUGAAUAUUGUUUAGAAUUUUUGAGAGGAAUGAAAAAUUACACCAAAUGCCUGGACUAAUGCAAACCAUUACUUCAAAGGUUUUAAAAACGUAAAAAAAUAACUUCGAAAGCCUGGAUUAAGAUUUAUGCCAAAUAUCUGGAAUACAGUGAAGGAUUACUUCAUAUUCUUGGAAUACGUAAAAAAUUUAGAUGAUGAUGAUGAUCGUAAAUAUUUGAAAUUUUUAAGAGGUAUAAAUCAUUGUUCCAGAUGUCUGGAAAUCAUCGAAAAUGACUUUAAGAGAAUAACAAAAUUUAAAAAAAAAUUUGGAAUUCUUGUAAGGAGUAAAGUAUAUUGCCAGAAGCCUGAGACUGAAGUAGAGCAUCACUUCAAAGGUUUUAAAGACCGAUGAUAUAUUUGGAAUUUUCGAGAGGAAUAUUAAAUAUUCCAGAUGUCUGGAAAUCAUAAAAAAUGACUUUGAGAGAAUAACAAAAUUCGAAUCGUUAUAUGCAAUUCUUGUGAGAAGUAAAGUAUUAUGCCAAAUACCUGGAAUGAAGUAAAGAAUUUCUCGAUAUUGCUGAAAAUUCUGAACAUAUAGUUUGAAUUUUUGAGCGGUAUGAAAAACUAUACCAAAUGUCUGGACUAAAGUAAUUCUUUCUUUUGAACUGCCUGAUAAGGAUUUGAAUAAGAUAUCCAGACGACUCAAUAUGCGGUAGAAAAUAAAAAAGUAGACUUUUGACCCUUGAACUGGCAAAAAUGUCCAUCUGAGGUCCAGACAUCAUGGACGAUCGCUAUGAAAUUAUGCCUCUCGUCUGUAUUUGGAUUAAAUACGUUGGAAAAGUAACAUUUCCAAACGAUCCAGGAUGUUCCUGGAAGGUGAGAUGCGGUAGAAAGUGAAAAAGUGGACUUUUGACCCUUAAAUCGGCAUUUAUGUCCAUCUGAGGUCCAGAAAUCAUGUACGAUCGCUAUGAAAUUAUGCCUCUCGUCUGUAUUUGGAUUAAAUACGUUGGAAAAGUAACAUUUCCAUACGAUCCAGGAUGUUCCUGGAAGGUGAGAUGCGGUAGAAAGUGAAAAAGUGGACUUUUGACCCUUAAAUCGGCAUUUAUGACUAUCUGAGGUCCACAAAUCAUGGACGAUCGCUAUGAAAUUAUGCCUCUCGUCUGUAUUUGGAUUAAAUACGUUGGAAAAGUAACAUUUCCAAACGAUCCAGGAUGUUCCUUGAAGGUGAGAUGCGGUAGAAAGUGAAAAAGUGGACUUUUGACCCUUAAAUCGGCAUUUAUGUCCAUCUGAGGUCCAGAAAUCAUGUACGAUCGCUAUGAAAUUAUGCCUCUCGUCUGUAUUUGGAUUAAAUACGUUGGAAAAGUAACAUUUCCAAACGAUCCAGGAUGUUCCUAGAAGGUGAGAUGCGGUAGAAAGUGAAAAAGUGGACUUUUGACCCUUAAAUCGGCAUUUAUGACUAUCUGAGGUCCACAAAUCAUGGACGAUCGCUAUGAAAUUAUGCCUCUCGUCUGUAUUUGGAUUAAAUACGUUGGAAAAGUAACAUUUCCAAACGAUCCAGGAUGUUCCUUGAAGGUGAGAUGCGGUAGAAAGUGAAAAAGUGGACUUUUGACCCUUAAAUCGGCAUUUAUGUCCAUCUGAGGUCCAGAAAUCAUGUACGAUCGCUAUGAAAUUAUGCCUCUCGUCUGUAUUUGGAUUAAAUAUGUUGGAAAAGUAACAUUUCCAUACGAUCCAGGAUGUUCCUGGAAGGUGAGAUGCGGUAGAAUGUGAAAAAGUGAACUUUUGACCCUUAAAUCGGCAUUUAUGACUAUCUGAGGUCCAGAAAUCAUGUACGAUCGCUAUGAAAUUAUGCCUCUCGUCUGUAUUUCGAUUAAAUACGUUGGAAAAGUAACAUUUCCAAACGAUCCAGGAUGUUCCUGGAAGGUGAGAUGCGGUAGAAAGUGAAAAAGUGGACUUUUGACCCUUAAAUCGGCAUUUAUGUCCAUCUGAGGUCCAGAAAUCAUGGACGAUCGCUAUGAAUUUAUGCCUCUCGUCUGUAUUUGGAUUAAAUACGUUGGAAAAGUAACAUUUCCAGAUGAUCCAGGAUGUUCCUGGAAGGUGAGAUGCGGUAGAAAGUGAAAAAGAGGACUUUUGACCCUUAAAUCGGCAUUUAUGACCAUCUGAGGUCCAGAAAUCAUGGACGAUCGCUAUGAAAUUAUGCCUCUCGUCUGUAUUUCGAUUAAAUACGUUGGAAAAGUAACAUUUCCAAACGAUCCAGGAUGUUCCUGGAAGGUGAGAUGCGGUAGAAAGUAAAAAAGUGGACUUUUGACCCUUAAAUCGGCAUUUAUGACCAUCUGAGGUCCAGAAAUCAUGUACGAUCGCUAUGAAAUUAUGCCUCUCGUCUGUAUUUGGAUUAAAUAUGUUGGAAAAGUAACAUUUCCAUACGAUCCAGGAUGUUCCUGGAAGGUGAGAUGCGGUAGAAUGUGAAAAAGUGGACUUUUGACCCUUAAAUCGGCAUUUAUGACUAUCUGAGGUCCAGAAAUCAUGGACGAUCGCUAUGAAUUUAUGCCUCUCGUCUGUAUUUGGAUUAAAUACGUUGGAAAAGUAACAUUUCCAGAUGAUCCAGGAUGUUCCUGGAAGGUGAGAUGCGGUAGAAAGUGAAAAAGUGGACUUUUGACCCUUAAAUCGGCAUUUAUGUCCAUCUGAGGUCCAGAAAUCAUGGACGAUCGCUAUGAAUUUAUGCCUCUCGUCUGUAUUUGGAUUAAAUACGUUGGAAAAGUAACAUUUCCAGAUGAUCCAGGAUGUUCCUGGAAGGUGAGAUGCGGUAGAAAGUGAAAAAGAGGACUUUUGACCCUUAAAUCGGCAUUUAUGACCAUCUGAGGUCCAGAAAUCAUGGACGAUCGCUAUGAAAUUAUGCCUCUCGUCUGUAUUUCGAUUAAAUACGUUGGAAAAGUAACAUUUCCAAACGAUCCAGGAUGUUCCUGGAAGGUGAGAUGCGGUAGAAAGUGAAAAAGUGGACUUUUGACCCUUAAAUCGGCAUUUAUGUCCAUCUGAGGUCCAGAAAUCAUGUACGAUCGCUAUGAAAUUAUGCCUCUCGUCUGUAUUUGGAUUAAAUAUGUUGGAAAAGUAACAUUUCCAUACGAUCCAGGAUGUUCCUGGAAGGUGAGAUGCCGUAGAAAGUGAAAAAGUGGACUUUUGACCCUUAAAUCGGCAUUUAUGUCCAUCUGAGGUCCAGAAAUCAUGGACGAUCGCUAUGAAAUUAUGCCUCUCGUCUGUAUUUGGACUAAAUACGUUGGAAAAGUAACAUUUCCAUACGAUCCAGGAUGUUCCUGGAAGGUGAGAUGCGGUAGAAUGUGAAAAAGUGGACUUUUGACCCUUAAAUCGGCAUUUAUGACUAUCUGAGGUCCAGAAAUCAUGAACGAUCGCUAUGAAAUUAUGCCUCUCGUCUGUAUUUGGAUUAAAUACGUUGGAAAAGUAACAUUUCCAGAUGAUCCAGGAUGUUAGUGGAAGGUGAGAUGCGGUAGAAAGUGAAAAAAAGGACUUUUGACCCUUAAAUCGGCAUUUAUGUCCAUCUGAGGUCCAGAAAUCAUGUACGAUCGCUAUGAAAUUAUGCCUCUUGUCUGUAUUUGGAUCAAAUACGCUGGAAAAGUAACAUUUCCAAACGAUCCAGGAUGUUCCUGGAAGGUGAGAUGCGGUAGAAAGUGAAAAAGUGGACUUUUGACCCUUAAAUCGGCAUUUAUGUCCAUCUGAGGUCCAGAAAUCAUGGACGAUCGCUAUGAAUUUAUGCCUCUCGUCUGUAUUUGGAUUAACUACGUUGGAAAAGUAACGUUUCCAGAUGAUCCAGGAUGUUAGUGGAAGGUGAGAUGCGGUAGAAAGUGAAAAAGUGGACUUUUGACCCUUAAAUCGGCAUUUAUGUCCAUCUGAGGUCCAGAAAUCAUGUACGAUCGCUAUGAAAUUAUGCCUCUCGUCUGUAUUUGGAUUAAAUACGUUGGAAAAGUAACAUUUCCAAACGAUCCAGGAUGUUCCUGGAAGGUGAGAUGCGGUAGAAAGUGAAAAAGUGGACUUUUGACCCUUAAAUGUGUAAAAAUGUCCAUCUGAGGUCCAGAAAUCAUGGACGAUCGCUAUGAAAUUAUGCCUCUCGUCUGUAUUUGGAUUAAAUACGUUGGAAAAGUAACAUUUCCAAACGAUCCAGGAUGUUCCUGGAAGGUGAGAUGCGGUAGAAAGUGAAAAAGUGGACUUUUGACCCUUAAAUCGGCAUUUAUGUCUAUCUGAGGUC
Molecule: long non-coding RNA, 5018 nt
Filed under: Anthonomus grandis grandis
Lineage: Eukaryota; Metazoa; Arthropoda; Insecta; Coleoptera; Curculionidae
Description: uncharacterized LOC126743174
Source: RNAcentral